CCCUGCUCCCGGGCCAGGGUAGGCCGUACCACUCACCAGCUUCUCAAUGUUCACCAAACCAUCGACAAGAGUCUUACUCCCCUCAUGCAGGAAAGUCAGGUCUAGGGGAGGGAAGAGAAGCAAAUGUGAGGAAGAAGAGAGGAGGUCCAAAGGGCCCUUCCCCUCCCCCACGACCCCUCAGUGUGGGGCUCCUCUCCAGUGGGCAUUCAGAGCUAAGUGACAGUGGUUGAUAGCCAGAACUGGGGCACAGAGACUGUGGCCAGAAGAGCAUGGGAUUGACUCUCACCUUUGAGGAUCAGAGGCACAAAGGGAAUCACAGGAGGUUUCAUCUUGGAGAUGACUUCUCGGUAGCUUUUGUGGUUCCUGCAGGGGUCCUGGCAUUCCACAGAAGAGAGGUUAGGGGACACAUAGUCCCAGCGUACCUCAAAGAUGCCCCCUACUCCUCCCUCAUCCCCCUGCCCUAGAUCCAUCUCUGAUCAGAGAGAGGUAUGUAUGGGUGUCUAGCUGGGGGUGAGAUGGGGAGGAGCUUGACUGUCCUCCCCUCACCUCCAAGGCAAACAGGGCAGCAAUCCACCCACCCUUCCCCCUCCCAGCAUGCCAGGGGAAGGGUCUUGGGCACUAAAAACCUUAAAGGCAAGCUUGAGGAGGAAGGUUUGUGGGAACAGAGGGUCUCUGGGGUGCAAGCCCAGGGGCAGAUAAAAGAGCUGAACCCACUCACUGUCAGGUUCUCAAAUUUGCGGAACAAAUUCUUGAAUUUCCCGGGCAGCUUCUGCAGAGGUUUGAAGGAAGGAGAAGGAAUGUCAGACUGGAGCUCCUUGCGUUUCAGGGCAGCUCUGGCUAAUCCCCAGGUGUCAGAGGGGGAAAGGGCCCGGCUAUCUUGCAAGGGGCUGGCAAGCUGGUCUGGUGGGUAGGGAAAUAGAAUCAGCCCGUAGUGAGGUCUGGGGAGCUUGAAGCAGCCCGGAGGAAUGAAUUAUUCUGGGGAAUUCGAGCCUCUGCGUUGGCACUGCUACGCACAAGGGGCCUCACUGAGCGCUGGCUGGAAUCCAGCAUCCAAGUCUGAGACCUGGCCUGGGCUGCCUGCCCCCCUCUCCGGCGGGGAUUCCGUCUUUUUACUAAUUUGCACAAGGACAGGGCGCAUUAACCUAGCGGCGUGGCCCGGGCCUGGAUCUGCCAGAAGAGGGCGCCUCCUUCCGCCUGGCACAAAGGCUCCCUAAGGGCCAGCCGCACCGCGGGAGGCAGCACCGGGGUGAGCCCGGCAGGCCAAGAUCCCCCGAGCCAGGCCAGCCCAGGCGGGAGGAGAGGAAAGGGCAGCCAUGCAUCACCUCCCAGAUUGGAGACGUAAGGCUUAGAGGGUCUGGGGGUGAAUUGCCCGAGGGCACCCCGCCAGCCACCUUCUAAUGCAAAGUUCAGCUGCACACAUGGCCCGUCUCCAGGACCCCACGUUGGCACAUUUCUCCCUCCAGGCCCCCAGCCCAGCACCACCUUCAGUCCCCACCUCAUGCACACAUCGAAACAGCUCCCAGUGGAAGGCAGUAAGGUGGUUGGCGACGUCCUCAGGCUCCACUCGGUGGAUCUCUGUGUCUCCAGGGGAGACCUGGAUCUCCUCGGGGAGGGGCAUCUGGUGACAGGCAGGGACACAGGGGCUGGCCUCCACUCUGGGCUUGUGAGUUUCUGCCCCAUAGUCCCUCUGGGCCCUCACUCCCAGCCAACGCCUUGUGACGGAGUUCUUACCAGCGCCUCAUAGCUGUCGCGGGUACAGGCAAACAGGUGACUGUUGAUGCCCAGCGUGGUGAAGACACAGUCUUCAGUCGGCUGGAGAAGGACCUUCUCUGCAGGAGAACGAGCUGUUCUGCCUCAGCCCUGACUAUCUGCACCCUCACACACCCCAGCCACUGUCGCCAUCCCGUCUAGAAACUCCUAACCCUGCAUGGACACAUUCUAGACGAAUGGGACUGCUGUUAUCACCAGUUUGUGCCACAUUCAUCUGAAAUUUUCAAAUAAUGAUUUCCUCGGCAUUCA
This is a long non-coding RNA of Neofelis nebulosa (Clouded leopard), 2019 nucleotides long. RefSeq lists it as uncharacterized. The transcript has 2 exons. Lineage: Eukaryota; Metazoa; Chordata; Mammalia; Carnivora; Felidae. The record is from RefSeq and is a predicted model, not a curated record.